Portunus trituberculatus (swimming crab) is the source of this 583-nucleotide long non-coding RNA. RefSeq lists it as uncharacterized. The transcript has 3 exons. The record is from RefSeq and is a predicted model, not a curated record. NCBI's taxonomy places the organism in Eukaryota, Metazoa, Arthropoda, Malacostraca, Decapoda, Portunidae.
AGGUAUACAACUCCAAUGUACGAAACGUAUUUCAGCUUCCCGAUCAUGUUUAGUGCUGGCACACACAUUUUUCCUCUAACGUUUUAACUUCAUUUCAACUAUAUAACAGUGACUUCCUGAGAGCAGCAUCCAGUCUGCCGAUCAGUGGCAGUAUACACACUCGCAAACAUACUAAACAUACUGACUCUAGUGGAGAGAAUAUAGUGUGGUGUAAUAUCAACGUUGGUAUUUUCUCAGGCGAAGCUUUAGAGACUCAGAGUGGAAACUGCCAGAGUAACGGAGGAGUGUUUCACCGGCGCUGUUCUCUCUCUUAGCACUUAUUCUACCGUCGCCUGAGACUGGACUGUGCCACCAUAGCAGAGAGUAACUAGCAGCAGUCCGUGACACACAGCUUCUCAUCACCUUGGGUUCUUUCUCUGGAUGAAGACAAAGAUAAGUCUGUCUUGGAAAUUCCCGAGACCCAAGGAGUUUCAAUUGAGACACAAUUAGACAGGCCAGGGUAGUUGUCUUGAAGUUCCUGAGAGCCAAGGAUCUUUAGUCAAGACAGAUAGACAACUAGAGUAGUUGUCUUGAAGUUCCUAGA